CCUACGGGGCGCAGCAGUGAGGAAUAUUGGUCAAUGGGCGGGAGCCUGAACCAGCCAAGCCGCGUGAAGGAAGAAGGCGCCAGGCGUCGUAAACUUCUUUUGUCGGGGAACAAAGGGCGCCACGUGUGGCGUUGUGAGUGUACCCGAAGAAAAAGCAUCGGCUAACUCCGUGCCAGCAGCCGCGGUAAUACGGAGGAUGCGAGCGUUAUCCGGAUUUAUUGGGUUUAAAGGGUGCGUAGGCGGAUUUGUAAGUCAGCGGUAAAAAUGCGGUGCUCAACGCCGUAUCGCCGUUGAAACUGCAGGUC
RNAcentral lists this ribosomal RNA (305 nucleotides) under uncultured bacterium. RNAcentral's name for it is "bacterial SSU rRNA". It matches the Rfam family "Bacterial small subunit ribosomal RNA", at positions 338 to 641 of the family's 1533-position model. The record is from RNAcentral.